CGCAUCUGUGCAUGCAGCAUAUCAAUAAGCGGAGGAAAAGAAACUAACAAGGAUUCCCCUAGUAACGGCGAGUGAAGCGGGAAGAGCUCAAAUUUGAAAUCUUAAAGGGUCUCCCUUUACGAAUUGUAGUUUAAAGAAGUGUUUUCUGUUGAGGUUUUGGUAAAAGUUCUUUGGAAUAGGACAUCAUAGAGGGUGAGAAUCCCGUAUUUGACCUUUACUUUCAACUUUGUGAUACACUUUCAAAGAGUCGGAUUGUUUGGGAAUGCAGUCCAAAAUGGGUGGUAAAUUUCAUCUAAAGCUAAAUAUUGGCGAGAGACCGAUAGCGAACAAGUACCGUGAGGGAAAGAUGAAAAGAACUUUGAAAAGAGAGUUAAACAGUACGUGAAAUUGUCAAAAGGGAAGCGUUUGACACCAGUGUUGUUUUUCUGAAAAUCAAUUAAAGAACUGUUUAUGCUAAGCUGUUUAGACUUUAUCAGCUAACUGUUUAGUUUUGAGCUUUUCUUUAAUGCACUUUUCAGUUAACAAGUCAACAUCAAUUUCUUUUGCUGUAAAAAAGCUUGAGGAAGGUGGCUUGAGAUUCGUCUUAAGUGUUUAUAGCCUCUUGCCUAUGCAGUCGGAGAGAUUGAGGUCUGCAGCGUAGAUCCUUCGGGGCUAAAUGCAUUUGUGCUAAGUUAUAGCAUUUUAUAGACAACUUGUUGACUAUGAUUUGUCUUGUAGCUUACUCGCUUAUGUUAUUUUACCUACGCUUAGGAUGUUGAACGCGCACAGAGUCUC
This 774-nucleotide ribosomal RNA is filed under the name uncultured Neocallimastigales. RNAcentral describes it as "partial large subunit ribosomal RNA". It matches the Rfam family "Eukaryotic large subunit ribosomal RNA", at positions 26 to 635 of the family's 3401-position model. Lineage: Eukaryota; Fungi; Neocallimastigomycota; Neocallimastigomycetes; Neocallimastigales. The record is from RNAcentral.